GGCAUCAACUUCUCGUGGGUGCUCGUCAAUGUGCUAUUCGGCAUCCUCACCUUGACCUCCGUCAUGGUGGUGUUCCACUCCAAGGGCGAUGAGGCGAUCAUCACCAUCUUCACCGCCUCCUACGUGGACCUUGUGCCGUUCUUUUGCCGCCUCUACCUCUACAAGAGUUUGGCCCAAGGUUCGCCAAGGCGGAACCGACUCAAGGCGUCGGUGUGGACGCUCACCACCUUGCUCACCUUCUCCUUCACCUACAUGGUCAUGGGCAUGGCUGGCCUCACGCUCCCUGUCGCGUUGCUGCUCUAGGCCAUCGCCGUUGCCGCCAGGAUUGGGGCCUUCUCCGACUUCUUCGAGCAAGGGCAAGUACUACUCGAUUCCCGGUUUUCUUCUACUGUCACCUACAAUAUCUAUUUCAAUUAA
RNAcentral lists this ribosomal RNA (417 nucleotides) under Triticum aestivum (bread wheat). Its description in RNAcentral is "partial small subunit ribosomal RNA". Lineage: Eukaryota; Viridiplantae; Streptophyta; Magnoliopsida; Poales; Poaceae. The record is from RNAcentral.